This 446-nucleotide ribosomal RNA is filed under the name uncultured bacterium. Its description in RNAcentral is "partial 16S ribosomal RNA". It matches the Rfam family "Bacterial small subunit ribosomal RNA", at positions 338 to 795 of the family's 1533-position model. The record is from RNAcentral.
CCUACGGGUGGCAGCAGUCGAGAAUCAUUCACAAUGGGGGAAACCCUGAUGGUGCGACGCCGCGUGGGGGAAUGAAGGUCUUCGGAUUGUAAACCCCUGUCAUGUGGGAGCAAAUUAAAAAGAUAGUACCACAAGAGGAAGAGACGGCUAACUCUGUGCCAGCAGCCGCGGUAAUACAGGGGUCUCAAGCGUUGUUCGGAAUCACUGGGCGUAAGGCGUGCGUAGGCUGUUUCGUAAGUCGUGUGUGAAAGGCGCGGGCUCAACCCGCGGACGGCACAUGAUACUGCAAGACUAGAGUAAUGGAGGGGGAACCGGAAUUCUCGGUGUAGCAGUGAAAUGCGUAGAUAUCGAGAGGAACACUCGUGGCGAAGGCGGGUUCCUGGACAUUAACUGACGCUGAGGCACGAAGGCCAGGGGAGCGAAAGGGAUUAGAUACCCUAGUAGUC